UACAGAGGUCUCAAGCGUUGUUCGGAUUCAUUGGGCGUAAAGGGUGCGUAGGCGGCGAGGUUAGUCGGAUGUGAAAUCCCAGGGCUCAACCCUGGAACUGCAUUCGAUACUGCCUUGCUAGAGUACUGGAGAGGAGACUGGAAUUUACGGUGUAGCAGUGAAAUGCGUAGAUAUCGUAAGGAAGACCAGUGGCGAAGGCGAGUCUCUGGACAGUUACUGACGCUGAGGCACGAAGGCCAGGGGAGCAAACGGG
Molecule: ribosomal RNA, 253 nt
Filed under: uncultured bacterium
Lineage: Bacteria
Description: partial 16S ribosomal RNA
Rfam family: Bacterial small subunit ribosomal RNA
Source: RNAcentral